UGGGGAAUUUUGGACAAUGGGCGAAAGCCUGAUCCAGCAAUGCCGCGUGUGUGAAGAAGGCCUUCGGGUUGUAAAGCACUUUUGUCCGGAAAGAAAUCCUUGGCUCUAAUACAGUCGGGGGAUGACGGUACCGGAAGAAUAAGCACCGGCUAACUACGUGCCAGCAGCCGCGGUAAUACGUAGGGUGCAAGCGUUAAUCGGAAUUACUGGGCGUAAAGCGUGCGCAGGCGGUUUGCUAAGACCGAUGUGAAAUCCCCGGGCCCAACCUGGGAACUGCAUUGGUGACUGGCAGGCUAGAGUAUGGCAGAGGGGGGUAGAAUUCCACGUGUAGCAGUGAAAUGCGUAGAGAUGUGGAGGAAUACCGAUGGCGAAGGCAGCCCCCUGGGCCAAUACUGACGCUCAUGCACGAAAGCGUGGGGAGCAAACAGGAUUAGAUACCCUGGUAGUCCACGCCCUAAACGAUGUCAACUAGUUGUUGGGGAUUCAUUUCCUUAGUAACGUAGCUAACGCGUGAAGUUGACCGCCUGGGGAGU
RNAcentral lists this ribosomal RNA (533 nucleotides) under uncultured bacterium. Its description in RNAcentral is "partial 16S ribosomal RNA". It matches the Rfam family "Bacterial small subunit ribosomal RNA", at positions 355 to 881 of the family's 1533-position model. The record is from RNAcentral.